GAUGAACGCUAGCUACAGGCUUAACACAUGCAAGUCGAGGGGAAACGACAUCGAAAGCUUGCUUUUGAUGGGCGUCGACCGGCGCACGGGUGAGUAACGCGUAUCCAACCUGCCCACCACUUGGGGAUAACCUUGCGAAAGUAAGACUAAUACCCAAUGAUAUCUCUAGAAGACAUCUGAAAGAGAUUAAUGAAUUAUCGGUGAUGGAUGGGGAUGCGUCUGAUUAGCUUGUUGGCGGGGUAACGGCCCACCAAGGCUACGAUCAGUAGGGGUUCUGAGAGGAAGGUCCCCCACAUUGGAACUGAGACACGGUCCAAACUCCUACGGGAGGCAGCAGUGAGGAAUAUUGGUCAAUGGACGAGAGUCUGAACCAGCCAAGUAGCGUGCAGGAUGACGGCCCUAUGGGUUGUAAACUGCUUUUAUAAGGGAAUAAAGUGAGUCUCGUGAGACUUUUUGCAUGUACCUUAUGAAUAAGGACCGGCUGAUUCCGUGCCAGCCGCCGCCGUAA
RNAcentral lists this ribosomal RNA (508 nucleotides) under uncultured bacterium. RNAcentral's name for it is "partial 16S ribosomal RNA". It matches the Rfam family "Bacterial small subunit ribosomal RNA", at positions 28 to 523 of the family's 1533-position model. The record is from RNAcentral.